Long non-coding RNA from Sceloporus undulatus (fence lizard), 5495 nucleotides. RefSeq lists it as uncharacterized. Lineage: Eukaryota; Metazoa; Chordata; Lepidosauria; Squamata; Phrynosomatidae. The transcript is spliced from 3 exons. The record is from RefSeq and is a predicted model, not a curated record.
UGGGAGCAGGAUGGAAAGAAGCCAAAGGUGGUGCUUCUGCCAGUGUGGUGUAUAUGGGUUUGCAUAGGGGGGCUAGGGCCAGUAGUUCUCCUUGGCAGUUGCUGCAGAGGAUGAGGUGGCAGCAGUGAGCUUGGCUGUGUGCUGUGUUGGACUGUGCACGUGAGCAUCCUUCUUUGCUCUUGACUCCUCUGGCACUUCCAAUGUGCUGCUUAGGCUGCCUUCCAGCAGAGAAGCCCUUUGUCCUGUCAUCCGACACACAAGCAGAGAGCAGCACUGCAAGAACAGGACGUGGCUGGAGGCCAGAACCUGCUUAGGCCACCACAAAUUGUGGAGAAGCAAGAGGAGUGGGAGCCUCUCGGUAGUUGUGGAUUGAGGAAUGCAGUGACAGAAAAAUAACAAGCAAUUUGAGAAAAGAAAACUCACUUGUUCAAAAAACCAUGCCUCACUUCUUGGAUUGGUUUGUGCCAAUGUAUCUGAUGAUAUCAAUCCUGAUCUUGGUGGGCUUUGGAGCCUGCAUAUACUACUUUGAGCCAGGACUACAGGAAGCACACAAAUGGAGAACGCAACGGCCAAUCAUGGAACGAGAUCUUCGGAAAACCUUGAUGAUACGAGAUAACCUUGCAUUUGGGGUGCCUGAAGUCUAGUAUCCUGUUCUUGCAUAGAGAUGCAAAAGUAUUUAGAAGAUACAAAGUCAAUGUUCUUUUUCAAAUUACAGUGAGAGGUAUGGUUUGCUCAGGAUAUUUUCACUGCAGAUGAUGUGGUCAGAUCAUAACUUCAUUCCUUGCUGAUGUGAGUUUCUGUUAAAAGUACUCUUUGUUGCCAUCUGUAUUUCUAAGGCAAGGCUUCUAGAUGAUGUCAUCUCAAAACUCCAGUUUUCUGUCUUUAAAUAACUGCCCCUAAGAUUUGUGCAUUCUUUUAGAAUGUUUGACCAUCCAUAGAUGACAAUUUCUGUUUCCUUGAUGUGAAUGGCCACAUUUCUACAAGAACUUUAGCUUUCUCCAGGAGUAGCUGUUUAGCUGCAAAAGUGAUCUGAGUACAUUGCUUCAGUGCCUCCUGGAGAAGAGUCCAACUCAUAGAGCUCACUACUGGUACCAUUUCAUUGUUUUGUUUAAGUUUCUUGAGUGAAUGCAAACCCAAGAAUUGAUUGCAGUGACCAAAUUCUCUUCUCAUCUUCAUCAGUGGAACAUUUUGUGAAGCUUUUUAAUUGCCCAGCUGUAUACAUUUGGGAUUCAGAGAGUUUCUGUGCUCACAGGCUCCUCUCUAAUUCAAAACUCAUUCAGCAAAAAUAACCAUGGGGUUAACUGUGCUAAUUAAAUAUCAGUGAGGAUGGGGGAGAGGCUUUUCUAUGAUUUAUUGGGUAUUUUGUUACUAAGAAUGAGAGUUCUACACUUCUGUAGGCUUGUAUCAUCUAGAACCCUGCUCUGGGAAAGUUGCACUUUUUCAAUCCUUUGCUGUUGCAGUCUUUUUUCAGUCACUGGGUUUUUUUAGACUGACAACCAAACCUUCAGACUAUAAAACACCUUCACACAGACUACCUUUCUGCAUGCAUGCUGAAAGGCACUGAGCUGCAGGCUAUGAUUGUGCAGUUCCUAUCACUAGACAGUCUUCUGGAGCUCCAUUGUAUGGGAUGCUUAUGGAGUAGCUUUGUUCUUAAUCUCUACAAAGUGUUUUCACUUUAAUCUACUCUUUCUAUAAGGCUGAUGUGUUGCCAAAGUAUUCUAUGUAAACACUACUGCAUGGGGAAAUGAUUUCAUCAGUAAUCCCAACAAUAUUGCUUAUAGUGUGCAGACUGCAUACUAACAAUAUGGGCAGAAUCUAGAACCUAAGACAGGGACAGAUAACUGUGGCCCUCCAGAUGUUGUUGACUUGCAACUCCCAACAUCCCAUUCCAUCAGCAUCUGAUGGGCCACAGUUUCCUACCCCUGACCUAGGGCAUGGAGAGUAUCCCCAUAGUCCCUAUCAUCUCUGACUGCAGAGUAGGUUUUAUUCUUUUUUUGGCACAGUGUUACAUGUUCCAUUGUUAUACGACUAGUUCUAGUCUCGUGAUUACCAACUCUACUUGUUUACAUUCCAUUUUAGGGUAGGGACUUGUGCCUUUGCUUCUCCACUGUGCUCAUGCAUGUACAUUCCAUAAGAGGGUAACACAAACAGUGAUACCAUAAAAGAAAAUGUUCAGUAUUCUCAAGACUGUUCCCAAAUUUCACUGUGCCCUCACUAACAGACAAUAUGCAUUCACGUCUGUCCUACCAUAUAGCACAUCAUUUUUCUCUGUCUUCCAUGUUCUCCUGCCAUGUCUGGUGCUGCCUUCUCACAUACUUCAAUACAUUCCACUGAUGCUCUUGUUACAUUUCAUGCCAUAAUCCCUGAUGGUCAAAGUACUACCAUAGGAACCUGGAAGCCUGUUGUAAACAUGCUUGGUCCUUUAAAGUAUCUUUUCAGUCAGCUCACAAUGAAUUAUCUGUAGAAUGAAACUGUAUGCCCAGUUGUCACUCUUACCUGAAAAUGGUUGCUUUAUUCUUUCACCAGCCACUUUGUUUGAAUAGAGUACAUUGCAUGUUGGGGUGUGUGAUUGGCAGUAAGUGGCUGCCAAAGGACACUGCUAAUGUUGGCAAUUACAGUGUUUUUAGCACAAAAGGAUGAAGCAUUAUUUGUAUAAGCAUGUGUAAUACUUCAUGAAGUCUUUUAGCCAUGCAGGUGUAAAGAUCAAAAAAGAUCUCAUCCCUUGCAUUGGAAUUUCCAUGGGAUUUAUCUUCCUGCAGAUAUAAAACAGGUAUAAAAGCUUUAGUUUUUGAGAUGGCUAAAACAGCAGAAUGAUUUGCACCAUAGAUCUUGAGAGGAAUUUGGAAAUUUUACUUUGGGACCUACAGCCCCCAGAAGCCCCCAGCUACUAUGGCCACUAGCUAGGAUUUUGGGAAUGCUAAUCUAAAACCUAACUUUCCAAGCAAUGAUAACAACAAAAUAUAUUCCACCAUGGGUCUUAAUGUAACAUGUGUCGUUUUGAGCACCUCAUGAAUUCCAUCCCUUUCCUAGGAUAGUUAAAUCAGCUAAUUUGCUGGACCCAAUCCAGAGGCCCUUCAUGUAGCAGCAGGCUGCUCAAGGGCCAGCCUUUCUAUUAAGCAGGGUGAGCUAGCACCAGCUUCUGGAUGCCAUAAAAAGGGUGGCAAUUUUUUGAUUAUUUAUUUAAACUGGGUGUGCAUGCAUUUGUGCAUGUGCUGGAUUUCCUCUUAGGCACCAAAACAUAUCCGGGCACCUUGAGUGAUCUAUUCUGAUAAACAAAGAUCAGAUGGCACUGCCAAAGUUAACCAUCUCUUCUGCAAAUGCAGGUAUGACUCUGAUUUAGCACUGGGCCUUGCCUUCCUGUGUACAUAUUGUUCAGUUGACAAUAUGAGUUGCACUAGAAACAGAAAUGCACAGAAGCCUAUUCUAUCUAGAUUUGUCUUUCUUGAAUUGGAGGAAUGAUCUAUUUACUAAAGGAUAUAAAACUGAUUUCAUGAUGCAUGAGUGCUCCCAUUAUAAGGUAGACCAGCUAAACAAAUCAUGAUUCUUCCAUCUGCUGUUUGUUUAUUGUGAAGUUGAAACCGAGCACUUUGAUGUGUCUUUUCUCCAAAAAGCCAGAGAAAUAAAUAACUAUGUUUUAUUUAUUUCUCUCAUUGUCUGGAGAAGAAAUAAGUCAGAAUGCUAGCAUGUAGCACCGCAAAAAGCAAGCAAUGGGUGGAAGGUGUAUAGUUUGUUUAGCCAAUCCUUUUCUUAGUGGGAACAAUCAGCAGGUGCAUAAGCACACUGCACACUGAGUACAGCCUAUGUAAAGGCAUCAUUAUCAGGUUCUAAGAUGAUAUUCUGCUCCUCAACAUGAAUGGAGAUAAAUGCUCACCCCUCUGUAUCCAUGACACAUUAGUUGGUACUGCUAAUAUAGCCAUAGUCUCCAAGCGUCACUUGGAGACCUGUUUUCUGGGCCUUGAUUUUCUUUGCGAUGUCUAGGUUACUAAUGCAAAUAAAUGGACCCCUGGCUGUGCAAUGGGGCAGCAAUAAUUAUCCUUUAUUAGACAUUAGGAUUUUAUGCUUUUGUGAACUGGCUACAUUAUUACUGUAUUUCAUGGCUGAUGCUCUGUGUUGUUGUUUUUGUUGUUGUUUUGGAGGGGAAAAACUCACUAUACAAAAUGUUUUUGCACUAAACCCACCUCAUCUUUCUCAUGUUUGAAGUUUCUUUUCUCAGGGCUGCAUCACAUGCUGGUGGUAAGUGAGAAGAAGAUAUGCUUGCAGCAUGACCACUUUAGUGAGUAUGCUGCAGAUGUGUUUUUCAUAUCAUUGACACAACUCUCACUGGAAAAGAAUCUAAGUCAUGCUUAGAUUCUACACAAACAGAGACAAAACACACCAUGCUUUUUUGUAGAUACAGUGAUUUCAAUAGAACUGUAGAAUAUAUCUGUGAGCAUCACAGAGUACUGAUACACACUGUGUUGGUAUUGAUCUACAGUGUAAGAGAAAUUCAGUAGUUAUUCCCAGCUUGGAUCAGUUUGUCAAUUUAAUUUGUUUUUAAAAAAUGAGUUUUAAAUUCAGUAUUUAAACAUUGUAAUUGUUAAUAGUCACACCUGUAAACUGCUAUCCCUACUAGUCCAGAAGUCACAUUACAAACAGUAAGAAUUACUUUUGGGUAAACAUGUGCAAUUGCACUGACAUUUGAUGCAAAUUAAGAUCAUUUUAAGGGAUCAGACUGAAUUGGACAAUUCCUUGUUUUUUAAUUUCAAAUUGUUCUGAUUCUUGCUAUUAUAUUAAUAGCAUGGGGUGCAAUUAGAAUAGCACAGAUUUAGAAAUAAGAGAUCACAAAGGCUUAGAAACCAAAAGAAAAACUUUUUUAAAACCAUGACAUUUGGAAGCUUGAAUCAUGAAUUGAAAUGCUUUUGAUUUCUGGGACUAUUUGUCCUUAUCUGGAGCCACCAUUGCACAGAAAAAAAGGACAGACUAGAAAUCACUGAAGUCCUAAAACAUAUCCCUGUGUUUGAGGUAAACACCCAAAUAGGCACAUGAUAUUUUAGAAUUUUAUUAUAAAGCAUUUGAUUGCAAUUUGAUUACACCCCACUCCCAUCCCAUCAUUAUAAUGACAGUUGAAUUCUAUGAACUCUGUGAACUCCAUUUAAAGUAUGGAUUUAUUAGGAGAGCACUGAAAUGAAAAAUACCCAGAUAGUUAAACUGGAUGAAGUAUUUUACAAAUACAUUUGCAGAGGUCACUGUUACGUGGCCAGCAGUGUAUGAAUAAGCUGUGAUGUUAGCUUUUUGCCAAAAUCACAUAUUCCCCCCCACCCCCACAAACGCUUUCCUUCUUUUGUCACAUACUGUGAAUUUAACUGUGAACUUCUUUGCCUCAGGAGCUAAGGAAAAACUAAAAGCUUGUGUGAUGUCUUGGAAAGUAUGCUCUCAACCCAAGUUUUGUGCUGUUCACUUGUAAAUGCUCCUGGUGAAAUGCAAUUUCAUGUUAAAUGUUUUAGUGUUUUAAUAUG